RNAcentral lists this long non-coding RNA (639 nucleotides) under Brassica rapa (field mustard). RNAcentral describes it as "long non-coding RNA (BRAP_LNC004135)". Lineage: Eukaryota; Viridiplantae; Streptophyta; Magnoliopsida; Brassicales; Brassicaceae. The record is from RNAcentral.
GGCAAGCAUGUUGCUUACGGAUGCUGUAAACGAUGUGUUCUAUAUCAAUGUAUAGAGUCUGGUUUAGUUUAUUGGUAUUAUGAUUUCAUUUGGUUUACAAUAUCAGUCAAGUAAUAAACUAAACCGAACUGAUCUUGUAAACCAAAUAAAAUCAUAAUACCAAUAAACUAAACCAGACUCUAUACAUUGAUAGUAUGUUCUAAGAGCAUGCGCAUCGACGUAUUUAGAAGGGGUCAUGGGCUCGGUAUCAUAUGGGCCAAAAUUAAAAAAAAAAAGAAAAAAUUGAUUUAAAUGAGUGAUCCGGUUCAUGGGAGUGAACCCGUAUGAUACGGGUUCAUGGCACGUGUCGACGCAAGAGUGGCCACGCGGUAUCGCGUCGAAGCGGAGAAAAAAAGGGAAUCGCGUGAGAGGAAUCAUUUUCUCUUCUCCUUUCGAAAACUAGGGUUUCUCUAUCUCGGAGGCGAUUUCUCGUGCGACGCCGACUGUGGGUGAUUUAGUGGUUCUAAUCGACGGCGCACUCUCUCCCCGACGAGCUAAGGUCCUAAAGCCGAGAAAUUUGCACAAAAGCAAGAAUCCGCCAGAAAAGAUGUCGAACGGGCUUUUGGAGUAUUGCAGUCGAGGUUUGCAAUUGUUAAAAAC